This 595-nucleotide ribosomal RNA is filed under the name uncultured Gammaproteobacteria bacterium. RNAcentral's name for it is "bacterial SSU rRNA". It matches the Rfam family "Bacterial small subunit ribosomal RNA", at positions 346 to 925 of the family's 1533-position model. Lineage: Bacteria; Pseudomonadati; Pseudomonadota; Gammaproteobacteria. The record is from RNAcentral.
AGGCAGCAGUGGGGAAUAUUGCACAAUGGGGGAAACCCUGAUGCAGCCAUGUCCGCGUGUGUNAAGAAGGCCUUCGGGUUGUAAAGCACUUUACAGCGAGGAGGAAAGGUGGCUAGCUAAUACCUAGUUGACUGUGACGUUACUCGCAGAAGAAGCACCGGUCUAAUCUCCCGUGCCAGCAUUCCGCGGUAAUACGGAGGGUGCAAGCGUUAAUGCGGAAUAAUCUGGGCGUAAAGCGCACGCAGGCGGUCGGAUAAGUCAGAUGUGAAAGCCCCGGGCUCAACCUGGGAACUGCAUUUGAAACUGUCUGACUAGAGUCUUGUAGAGGGGGGUAGAAUUCCAGGUGUAGCGGUGAAAUGCGUAGAGAUCUGGAGGAAUACCGGUGGCGAAGGCGGCCCCCUGGACAAAGACUGACGCUCAGGUGCGAAAGCGUGGGGAGCAAACAGGAUUAGAUACCCUGGUAGUCCACGCCGUAAACGAUGUCAACUUGGAGUCUGUGCCAUAGAGCGUGGGCUCCGAAGCUAACGCGAUAAGUUGACCGCCUGGGGAGUACGGCCGCAAAGUNANAACUCAAAAGANUUGAUCGNAUNCNNGG